RNAcentral lists this ribosomal RNA (524 nucleotides) under uncultured bacterium. Its description in RNAcentral is "bacterial SSU rRNA". It matches the Rfam family "Bacterial small subunit ribosomal RNA", at positions 791 to 1315 of the family's 1533-position model. The record is from RNAcentral.
UAGUCCACGCCGUAAACGAUGAUUACUAGGUGCUCGAAAUACUAACUUUUUGGGUACCGUAGCUCACGCAUUAAGUAAUCCGCCUGGGGAGUACGGUCGCAAGGCUAAAACUCAAAGGAAUUGACGGGGGCCCGCACAAGCGGUGGAGUAUGUGGUUUAAUUCGAAGCAACGCGCAGAACCUUACCUGGCCUUGACAUUUAGCGACAACCCCAGAGAUGGGGCCUUCACUUCGGUGACGCUAGGACAGAUGCUGCAUGGCUGUCGUCAGCUCGUGUCGUAAGAUGUUGGGUUAAGUCCCGCAACGAGCGCAACCCUUAUCCUUAGUUGCCAGCAUUAAGUUGGGCACUCUGGGGAGACUGCCGGUGUUAAACCGGAGGAAGGCGGGGAUGACGUCAAGUCCUCAUGGCUCUUACGGCCAGGGCCACACACGUACUACAAUGGCAAAGACAAAGGGUAGCAAUAUCGCGAGAUGGAGCCAAUCCCAAAAACAUUGUCUCAGUCCGGAUUGAAGUCUGCAAUUCGA